AGCAAUCUGCCUGCCUCACCCUCCCAAAGUGCUGAGAUUAUAGGUGUGAGCCACUGUGCCCGGCUGGGUUCUUUAGGUUGCAAUAAGCAGAUGCCUUUACACACCAGUUUAAGUGAAGUUGGGGAGGUAGCUAGAAGGAGAAGGAAGCAACAAGGGAGUAAGAAUGUCCACAGAGCCUGCAUUUGGAUCUGAGGUUACACUCCAGCAGGAGUCCUGGAUCUUUGCUCUGGCUCUCCCCCAGUAAGGCAACCUGGCUUCUGUGAGCAGGUCCUCCAUUCUCCACUUGCCACUGGCAGCUCCCUUGCCUUGUUUUCUGCACCUGCCUUUUUCGUGCAUCACAGCUUCUGCUGAUUCAUAACUUUGGCUCACCCCUCACUCAUUGUGGUCCCUUUAGCCUCUCUCCACUUGCUGCACUCCAUGACAUUUCAGCCUUGGCUCCCGCCACCAACGGAUUGAUUUUCUUGACAUUUUCCAGUUUUGCUUUCUGAGAUAGGAAUCGAAUUGACACACCCUCCGCCCUUUUCAGGUGCUGGGCCACAUCAAAAGUCUCUAGCCAGCCAAUGAAUGAGCUCUUUGGGAGUCUGCCUCCUGUUGCAAUUAGCUGGGCAGGGGAGGGUGUACCAUAAAACAGAAGUGUCCUGCUGGGGAGUACCUGUGGCAGGGGAUGAGGGCAGGCGGUUUCCUUUAAAGCGAGAUGUAGGUGCAGCACACUAUAGAGCUAUCCCACCUGGGAGCUCACAUGUGGCAGCUGUGAGCUGGAGCCCUUGUCUGGGAGCUGGGUGAUUGGUCUGCAUUGAAGAGGGCUGGGAGCUCCCACAGCAUGGAAGUUUCGGGACAUCUUGUGGUGGGAUUCAUCUUCUCCAUUUGUCCUGCUUUGUUUCUUAUUUUCAUUGUAUCAUCAGUUUCAAGGAGAGGCACAAAGAAUGACUUGUGUGCUCCUCAGAGGGACGUCAUCAGGACUUACUUUGUGGACAGACAUGCCACUGACAUCUUCUAGAAAACUGCCGUAGUAACCAGAAAAACCUAUGAUGACCAUGAUGUGAAAGGAGCCCAACAGAAUUGUGCAAUGCAAAACUUGCACUGCUGUUAGUAGCUGCCUUACCAGGAUCAAGCUGCACACCCUGUCCAUCUCAGCCUGCCUUGCCUCUGUGAGUGUCCUGCGGAGAUCUCACGUGGCCACUCAAUAGGAGCUCCUCAUAUGCUUCCAUUCAGAGGACACAGAUGCAUAGAUUUGGGGAUAUAGAAAACUUUGAGGGUAAAAGUGGGAGAAAAUUAAUAUUUCUUGAGCAUUUUUUAUCUGCUAGGGGCUAUGCUAACUAUUUUACUUACAUUGUUCAUAUUUUUGCAUGAAAGCUGUGUUGUAACUGUUACUACUUUCAUUUUACAGCUAAGAAAACUAGGCUCAGAGGUUCAGCCGCAGCUGCUGCUUUGGGCUGCACAAAUUGCAUACUUGCAAUAUUUGAGGAAAUGCUAUUCACCUGUAAUUCAAGUGACCUCGUUGGUUACAAGGGGAGCCAGUAUAUCACUUGCCCAAGUCGCAUAGUGAAGGAGGAGCAGAGCUGGAAUUCACACCCGGUCUGAAUGACUCCAAAGCCUAUGCUCUCUCUGCUACACAAGUCUUUUGAAGACCCCACAGGAGUAAAAAGUGACCAAACUUAGUUUUGUUUUUUUUUUCUUUCUUAGAGAAAAGUUCCAUUCGUGUAUUCUGAAAUCAAAUGCAGGAAACAUGGAAUUUUAUCCACAAUGACAGCAACCUCUUGGAAGGAAAACUGAGUGCCAUGAGAGGACAGUGACAACCUCGGAGGCCUCAUGGUGAAGGUGGCAGAACCUUUGUUAGCCUGGGUGCUCAGGGUGGACAGCUGCUCUUGCCAACUGGGAACAUCUGCCUCGAGCGCUUUUAUUAUUAAAAACUCCAAUUUGUGUCUGUGUAACUCAACGUGGGAACCUGGAACCAUGUUUACUCUUCUGAUGACCCUGAAAGCCUGACUCGAGUGCUACAUGGAUAAAAGAGUGAGUUGAUGGAGCUGGCCUUGGGCAAGCUCAUUCUUCCGGCAUGUGGACAAAUGCCUGACAAGAUGAUUCUAUCAGGAAGUUACAGGAAGGAGAUGGAACAAGGAAUUUAGGCCUGGAUUCUGCUGUGCUCUCGCCAAAUGAGAUAGCCAGGGACUCAGUGAGAGGAGGUGCCAGAAAGGCGCCCUCCGAGCAGCUCCUGUACCUCUUUCCCUGGGGCGGCCAGUACGAAUGCAUGAGGCACGUGUGGGGACUUUGCUUCUGAGUUCGGAUACUGGGGGCCAUCACCAUUAUCUCUGAAUGUUCCAGAUGAGAACACUGAGAUCCAGAGCUGCCGCCCUUCAAGGCCUCUAGGCAGAGAGGUGGAGUGGAGGCUAAGUCCAUUACCCUUCAGCCACCCAGCACUGCUAUGCCAAUGCGUUUACCAUUUCAGUGCCUCCUCACUGGUCUAAGUGACAGACGCUGACAUUCACACAUUCUCAGCCAGGGUGGGUGGCACCGUGCCAUAGAUGGCACCAAAUUGGGUGUUGAGGAAGUACUGCUGUGUCCCUUCCCCCCGGCCCUCCCAGCUCAUUGGCCCCAGUUGUGCAUGUAGCAGGGUCUCAGUAAAUAGGUAUGGGAAUGAGCAGAGUAAUCUGCCUCAGGAAUCUUAGAAAAACACGAAAACAACCUUACCAACAGUACUUGGUCUAACACAUCAUAGCCCUCUAAGUAGUUUCACUGUGUUAUCUUGUUUCAUGUACCUGCUGUCGUUCGAAAUUGUUUCAGGGUAGAAGCAUAUAAUUAAAAUAUCAAUUAAGCCACGUUCUGAAAUACAUCAGGCUAUGUGUGAGCAUGAAUUAGGAAAAAGUCAAAUGACAAUUCAUCAAUCUAGGACUCAUUCCCCAGGUACAAUCCACAACCCACCUCCCCUGCAUCCCAGUUUUGCUCCAGAGGAGAAGUUCACCAGAUGGAUUGGCCAGAUGGGUCCUGGAUCCAUUGGGAAGAUGCCUGGGAAAAUCUGAAUUUUCUUGGGGGACUUCUUUGCUUCUAGUUCUCCACCACCAGGCUGGGAGAGGGUCCUGAUACCAAAAGUUCGUUUCAGAAUCUGCCUUUCAGCCCUUCCCCUGGUCAAAGGUGUGAGUAUGGCUGGCAUGAUGGGAUGGAAAGAACACGGGCUUCUCAAUCCCCAAUCUAGCACUAGUAAGCUGUGGGAGUUGCAAUCCUCUCAGACCUCCAUUUCCUAUUCAUAAAAGUGGGAACAGUGGGACUGCUUCUAGGGCUCAGUGACAGGGCACGGCACCAUCUAGCACAUUAAAGUGCUCAGUUUUUCUUGCUAAUGCCGUAAGGAGAUUUAAAAUAUAAAUGCAUUCCCGGACUGCAGUGUUGCCCCCUUGAAUAGAAACUAUUGGAGGUUGGGUUCUGAGAAUGUGAAUUUUUGAGGCACUCCCAGUGAGACUCUGAGAAGCAGCUAUGUUUGGGAAUGACAGCUUUUCCAUUCUUCAAUUCCAGAUGCUAUUCAUAAUGAGAUGCACUACCAAUAACACCUUCUCAGGAAAAAAAUGUGUCAAUUACCCAUUAAAUUUAUACAUUUCAACCUCAGGCACAUUAAAAAUUGCACCCCUGGACUGUGCAUUGUCUCAGCUGUGGUCACAGGACUGAAGGAGAAAUCCAUGUGGUGUGAGGCAAUAACCAUGACUGUGAUUAGACGGCAGCCUCAAUGAUCACCUGGUAUACACCAUGCUGGGAGGCCACUGAGACUGCUCUGCAUCAUCUCCCAGGCCUGGGAUGCGGAGUGUCAGAGAAUCAGUCCUGUGUCUCUCUUCUCCAGCAUCUCUCAGCUGGAUGCACAGGGCUGGCUGUCUUUGUGGUUCAGACUUUCAGGAGUCAAGCCAAAUUGAGUCAGAGCAUGCUCCUCAGUGUCUGCCCCACCACUGAGAGGGGUCAGCCUUCAGCUGGGAUCUGGCAGGCCAGUCUGCACUGCGGGGCUUUCUCGUUGCUGUUGGAGCUUCUUUGCUCCUCGCAGAGUUGGGAAGGGUGGGAGGGCCUCUGUCAGAGCUCUCUGGCCCUUUCUCCAUGUUGGCUCAGUCCCUGGGGCUGUGCUUGUGCCUUGAUUUCCCUCCUUGGUUCAUUGUAUUUGUCAGGAUUCAGGCAGGAAAACACAAACCAGGCGUGGUGUAUCCGACAGAGGAAUUUAACACUGGCUAUAGAAUGUGUAGAUGUUGGAAGGCUGGGAUGCCAAGAGGGAGACCGAGAGGUGGCCCAGGGCUUAUGACCUGUAGGAAGCUGCUGCCCCAGCUGGGGGAGCAAAAAGAAGGAGGAUUAUCAUUAGGAUCUGGGAUGCAGAGGAGGAGCAGUGCUGUGGAGGAGGGACCGCUGCAGCUAGAGCUGAGAUGAUGGAAAUGGCACAGCUGCUUGAGAGACAUCACCUGGAGAAGAAGGAACGAGAGAAAGAGUGAGAGGAAUAGAAGAUCAGCACUACUCUCCCAGCAUCUCUUAUUGAGAGAGCUUGUGAAGAAGUCAGCUGGCAAAGGAGCCAAGUGUGACCGAGCCGUGUGCAGAGAGUGUGCUGGGCCUGGGAGGCAAUAGACAAACAAUAAGUACAUUCAGGCAGUCAGCACAUAUUUACUAAGUACCUUUUCUUUUGAGAUUGAGUCUCACCCUGUUGCCAGGCUGGAGUGCAGUGGUGCAAUCUCGGCUCACUGCAACCUCCACUCCUCAAGU
Non-coding RNA from Macaca mulatta (Rhesus monkey), 4713 nucleotides. NCBI's taxonomy places the organism in Eukaryota, Metazoa, Chordata, Mammalia, Primates, Cercopithecidae. The record is from RefSeq and is a predicted model, not a curated record.